This 403-nucleotide ribosomal RNA is filed under the name uncultured bacterium. RNAcentral describes it as "bacterial SSU rRNA". It matches the Rfam family "Bacterial small subunit ribosomal RNA", at positions 361 to 776 of the family's 1533-position model. The record is from RNAcentral.
AUAUUGCACAAUGGGCGAAAGCCUGAUGCAGCGACGCCGCGUGAGGGAUGACGGCCUUCGGGUUGUAAACCUCUUUCAGCAGGGACGAAGCGCAAGUGACGGUACCUGCAGAAGAAGCACCGGCUAACUACGUGCCAGCAGCCGCGGUAAUACGUAGGGUGCAAGCAUUGUCCGGAUUCAUUGGGCGUAAAGAGCUCGUAGGCGGUCUGCCACGUCGGAUGUGAAAACUCGGGGCUUAACCCCGAGCCUGCAUCCGAUACGGGUAGACUGGAGUGUUGCAGGGGAGACUGGAACUCCUGGUGUAGCGGUGAAAUGCGCAGAUAUCAGGAAGAACACCGGUGGCGAAGGCGGGUCUCUGGGCAACUACUGACGCUGAGGAGCGAAAGCGUGGGGAGCAAACAGG